This 433-nucleotide ribosomal RNA is filed under the name uncultured bacterium. RNAcentral describes it as "partial 16S ribosomal RNA". It matches the Rfam family "Bacterial small subunit ribosomal RNA", at positions 29 to 507 of the family's 1533-position model. The record is from RNAcentral.
AACGAACGCUGGCGGCAUGCCUAACACAUGCAAGUCGAACGAGACCUUCGGGUCUAGUGGCGCACGGGUGCGUAACGCGUGGGAACCUGCCCUUAGGUUCGGAAUAACUCCCCGAAAGGGGUGCUAAUACCGGAUAAUGUCUUCGGACCAAAGAUUUAUAGCCUUUGGAUGGGCCCGCGUUGGAUUAGCUAGUUGGUAGGGUAAAAGCCUACCAAGGCGACGAUCCAUAGCUGGUCUGAGAGGAUGAUCAGCCACACUGGGACUGAGACACGGCCCAGACUCCUACGGGAGGCAGCAGUGGGGAAUAUUGGACAAGGGGCGAAAGCCUGAUCCAGCAAUGCCGCGUGAGUGAUGAAGGCCUUAGGGUUGUAAAGCUCUUUUACCCGGGAUGAUAAUGACAGUACCGGGAGAAUAAGCUCCGGCUAACUCCGUG